Molecule: non-coding RNA, 117 nt
Filed under: Corynebacterium bouchesdurhonense
Lineage: Bacteria; Bacillati; Actinomycetota; Actinomycetes; Mycobacteriales; Corynebacteriaceae
Description: atpB RNA
Rfam family: atpB RNA
Source: RNAcentral
GUAGCAGAUGUGCGACGGAGUCCGCCGCGCGGGCAGACCUUGUUGAAGACGUCCAUCGCACCGCAUCCCGCAAACGGGUGCGGCCCGAGAACGGGAGAGAACGCUGAGCGUUACAAC